GCAAGUCGAGCGAACAGAUAAGGAGCUUGCUCCUUUGACGUUAGCGGCGGACGGGUGAGUAACACGUGGAUAACCUACCUAUAAGACUGGGAUAACUUCGGGAAACCGGAGCUAAUACCGGAUAACAUAUUGAACCGCAUGGUUCAAUAGUGAAAGGCGGCUUUGCUGUCGCUUAUAGAUGGAUCCGCGCCGUAUUAGCUAUUUGGUGAGGUAACGGCUUACCAAGGCUACGAUGCGUAGCCGGCCUGAGAGGGUGAUC
Molecule: ribosomal RNA, 259 nt
Filed under: uncultured bacterium
Lineage: Bacteria
Description: partial 16S ribosomal RNA
Rfam family: Bacterial small subunit ribosomal RNA
Source: RNAcentral